AUUGAACGCUGGCGGCAGGCCUAACACAUGCAAGUCGAGCGGAUGAAGGGGGCUUGCUCCUGGAUUCAGCGGCGGACGGGUGAGUAAUGCCUAGGAAUCUGCCUGGUAGUGGGGGAUAACGUCCGGAAACGGGCGCUAAUACCGCAUACGUCCUGAGGGAGAAAGUGGGGGAUCUUCGGACCUCACGCUAUCAGAUGAGCCUAGGUCGGAUUAGCUAGUUGGUGGGGUAAAGGCCUACCAAGGCGACGAUCCGUAACUGGUCUGAGAGGAUGAUCAGUCACACUGGAACUGAGACACGGUCCAGACUCCUACGGGAGGCAGCAGUGGGGAAUAUUGGACAAUGGGCGAAAGCCUGAUCCAGCCAUGCCGCGUGUGUGAAGAAGGUCUUCGGAUUGUAAAGCACUUUAAGUUGGGAGGAAGGGCAGUAAGUUAAUACCUUGCUGUUUUGACGUUACCAACAGAAUAGGCACCGGCUAACUUCGUG
RNAcentral lists this ribosomal RNA (484 nucleotides) under uncultured bacterium. RNAcentral describes it as "partial 16S ribosomal RNA". It matches the Rfam family "Bacterial small subunit ribosomal RNA", at positions 30 to 507 of the family's 1533-position model. The record is from RNAcentral.